CCUACGGGAGGCAGCAGUAGGGAAUAUUGCUCAAUGGGGGAAACCCUGAAGCAGCAACGCCGCGUGGAGGAUGAAGGUUUUCGGAUUGUAAACUCCUUUUGUUAGAGAAGAUAAUGACGGUAUCUAACGAAUAAGCACCGGCUAACUCCGUGCCAGCAGCCGCGGUAAUACGGAGGGUGCAAGCGUUACUCGGAAUCACUGGGUGUAAAGAGCGCGUAGGCGGGAUAGCAAGUCAGAUGUGAAAUCCUAUGGCUUAACCAUAGAACUGCAUUUGAAACUGUUAUUCUAGAGUAUGGGAGAGGUAGGUGGAAUUCUUGGUGUAGGGGUAAAAUGCGUAGAGAUCAAGAGGAAUACUCAUUGCGAAGGCGACCUGCUAGAACAUAACUGACGCUGAUGCGCGAAAGCGUGGGGAGCAAACAGGAUUAGAUACCCCGGUAGUC
This 440-nucleotide ribosomal RNA is filed under the name uncultured bacterium. RNAcentral describes it as "partial 16S ribosomal RNA". It matches the Rfam family "Bacterial small subunit ribosomal RNA", at positions 338 to 795 of the family's 1533-position model. The record is from RNAcentral.